This is a non-coding RNA of Camelina sativa (false flax), 550 nucleotides long. The record is from RefSeq and is a predicted model, not a curated record. Lineage: Eukaryota; Viridiplantae; Streptophyta; Magnoliopsida; Brassicales; Brassicaceae.
UGCAAUUUUUUUUUGUGGUGCAGGUAAAAGCAAAGUGUGAUCGUGGAAUCAAAGCAAUGAAGAGGAGGAUGUUCUAAGGACUCGAUUGAAUGUUGUCUGGUUGGGUCGUUUCACUGAGAACCUGCAUUACUGUUUACAGUAAAAAGCAGUGUGGUGUUUUUUUUAAAAAAGAUUGUGCAAUUUGCCCAAUGGUUUGGUGAGUCUUCUAUUUAAUGUGUCAACAUACACUCACGACUUCCAUGGGGUAAAUGGGUGUGGGUUUAGUAUUUGCUAUUACUGGUUGUCUUGACUCUUGACUGUAUUUAUAUUUUGGGAGUCUAAAGAGGGCAAAGAGAAGGCGACUCAAUGAGGAUGCUAACGUUGAAGACAUUUGAUCAACUGCACCUUCUGCAAGCCAACUCUGAUUCUAGGACUAAUUAGAGAUGAGUUGAUAUUUUUUGAUUUUAUAACCUAUGAAACUAUUGGUUAGGUUAUUUUUUUUUGAUGUAACCCUAUGAUAUUUUGUCUACGUUUAACCUAGAUAACAAUCAAUUGUUAACUGUUUGGUUUA